RNAcentral lists this long non-coding RNA (380 nucleotides) under Elaeis guineensis (African oil palm). RNAcentral's name for it is "long non-coding RNA (EGUI_LNC014477)". The record is from RNAcentral. Lineage: Eukaryota; Viridiplantae; Streptophyta; Magnoliopsida; Arecales; Arecaceae.
AGAUCAAGAGUCUAGGUUGGGGAUAUUAUUGUUUGCUUAAAAAAACAACCUAUAUUGAUCUGGUUAGAAAAUUUUACCAAAAUUUUUUUUACACUGAUGGAAGAGCUAGAUCUAUUUUUAAGGGUGUGGAAAUUCUAUUGGAUGCCUAUCAUCUUGGCCACGUUAUUUAUCUAUCCUAUGAGAAUAGUAGUUUAGAUGAAUUGAACAGUAAAGAAACUAGUUUUAAGUCCAUUUUGGGAGGAGAAGUUGUAAGAGGAAUUGAUAAAAUUGAAGCUAAGGAUUUAAAUGUUGAGAUGAGUCUCCUCCACCAUAUUGUGAUGAAGAUUUUCUUCCCUAGAGGGGGAAGAUAUGAUUUUCUUUUUGGGAGGGAUAUUUGUAUA